Molecule: long non-coding RNA, 464 nt
Filed under: Capra hircus (goat)
Lineage: Eukaryota; Metazoa; Chordata; Mammalia; Artiodactyla; Bovidae
Description: lncRNA (ENSCHIG00000005049.1)
Source: RNAcentral
AGGACUGGCGCAUCCUGGACACCCAGCUCCAGUGGGCAGGGGUCCCACGCAGCUCUCCUCCUUCAGGUCAGGCUGCGGGCCCGAGGGGCUUUCCCUGGCCCUUCCUCCGGGCCUGGGGGGCUGCCUUGAAGCCUAGAUAUGGGGUCGGAGGCACAUACCCAGAAGUCGGGAGCCAACCAGGGCCCUAUGGGCAGCUGAGGCCAGAGCUGGGCCCUGGGCCUUUGGGAGGCCCUGAGGUGAAAAGAGGCAGCAAUGGCCCCCUGGGAAAUGGCUUUGGAGGCCGCUGACUUCUUGGGAGAUGCUGAGCACCCGAGCACACCCACUGCCUGUCCUGAGGGCCUCCGCCUGCAAGCCUGGGACCCUCCGGCGUGGCCUCUGGCCUGGGGGCUCCUGCAGGCUGGAAGUCUCAAUAAAGGCAGUGCGCUUCCCUGUUUGCCUCUGUGUGCUGUGCGGGGGGGGAUCAC